Canis lupus familiaris (dog) is the source of this 2723-nucleotide long non-coding RNA. RefSeq lists it as uncharacterized. The record is from RefSeq and is a predicted model, not a curated record. The transcript is spliced from 3 exons. NCBI's taxonomy places the organism in Eukaryota, Metazoa, Chordata, Mammalia, Carnivora, Canidae.
AAUUACUGCAUAAUCAUAUCCAUAGGAAAUGGGGGCAAAACACAACUGCCCCAAUCCUACACUUUAAGAUCUAUAAACAAUUUCUAUUUUGCAUCUGAAUUGGAGCUAUUUAAAAAGGUAAACUACAAGGGCACCUGGGUGUCUCAGGGGGUCAAGGUCAAGCGUCUACCUUCCACUCAGGUCAUGACCCUUGGGGUCCUGACCAGGUCCUCAGCCUGGAGUCUGCUUCUCCUUCUCCCUCAGACACUCCCCCUGCUUAUGCUCUUCUCUCAAAUAAAUAAAAUCUUAAAAAAAUAAAAGGGUAAACUACAAGUUCACACACACAGAAUUUAGCUGAAAACUUGUGGAAAAAGAUGGGUGCACUAGGAUAUCAGAGCUUUGUAUCCGUAGACAUCUGAAUCAUAAAAUUUAUUUCCUUUGUUCUAAUUCUAUUGUCACCAAGGCAACCUCUUGAUUAUUUUAAUUCCUAUAAAUUUGGCUACAAGGAGGAAACACACUGGCCUGAGAGAUGCCAGCCGGCUCUCUGGCAACCGAAGAAAAGAAAGGCCUCUGCCCCGCUCACCCCAUCCUGCGGUGCCUGCCGUGGCGUUUUGCACAAACUGUGGAAAUUGAUUAAUUGUGUGGAUAAAGUGUAGAUGAGGAAGCACGCCAGUCUCCUGGGCGGCAAGGGACAGUGAACCGAGCCCUCCAGGGGCCUCUCCUCAGCCUGACUUGUCGUAUUAGAAAUAUUAGCGUCUAUGAAGAAUGUGAGGCAGCCUCCCAGCCCCCAUACUGAUGGGCGCAGACCCCUGCACCAGAAACCAGAAGAAAAGGAGUCGGGCUUGAAUCGAAGAAAUGUCUCUGGCAAAUGGGCCUUCGCUUGAUGGCCAAGGCCUGUCUUUUAAGAACAAACUCAUUCACUCUAAGAAAAAGCCUAAGUAAUUGAAAGGUCUACCUUCUGCAGGGUCUUCUGUGAUUGUGGGAAAUGCUGGACUGUGACUAUUUUGACAAAGGACAUGAACUGGAACUCUCCCGCAGACACCAGGCACUGAAUAAAUGCUUGAUGAAUAAAUGAAUCGUGUUACCUGCUCGGCCAGAAUCUGCUGCUGCUGUUGCUGCUGCUGCUGCUGUUGCUGUUGCUGCUGUUGCUGCUGCUGCUGUUGCUGCUGCUGCUGCUGCUGCCUUUGCUCCCGCAGGAACUGUUGCUUCUGCUGCUCCAUCAACUGGGCCCGCUGGUCAAUGAGCAUCUGCUUCAUGAUGGCAGCCUGGGGCUGGGUGCUGAGGAAGCCAGGACCCGCAGGACUGGCUCCGGAGACCAUGCCACCCGAGCCCGGGGGCACCGAGGACUGCAUGGAGCCUGUGGUCCGGGGAAGUCCAACUGGGUGCUGCUCCUGGGAGGACAGCAAGACGAGAGAAGGCACAGAUUUCAUACCCUUUUCAUGAAAGGAAGCAUGGGGCAGAGGUCUUGGCUUGUGGACCUGAGAGGUUCCAGGAGGCACACACUCCAUUCCACAAAAACAAUCCAGUGAUCCUCAAAUCUGGCCUUGCCAUAGCGGAACUGGAGGCCCGCAGGAGGACAGUAAAAGAGGAUGGCUCCAGGAAAUCUGAGAGCAAGUCCAGCCUGUUUGAUUAAGGGACAAAGACUGGGCAACCAGCUAACAGUCUGCACUCCUCCAAAGGAGAGAGACCAAGACCCCAGGGUGGGCUCACCUCAAGUCUGGAACGAGAGAGCCUGGCCUUACCUCUUAGCCUUUCCUGCCUCCCUGGCCUAAAUGGACUUCUUCUAGCUAAGUGGAGAGACAUUCACAGAAUAAUUCUGGAAUUUUUUAAUCAUUAGAUCUACUAUUCCAUGGAAUUCUAAUUGAUUGCAACAUUUGAGAGCUUUGCUAUACGUAAAAAAAAAAAAAAAAAAAAAAAAAUUCCUGCUAGUGGGAGUUGUUGACAGUGAAAACUGGAAAUGUGUGUUAUUGAACAAAGCUAUAUAGUCUCCCGACAACUUUAAAAAUAGAACUGAGCCUCCUAUGUCUGGGACAAUUUAUAAUGUGGGGGUUGAUGGGGGUCUUCUGAUUUUACAACUGUCUCCAUCAAACGACGGGAAUUUGUAAGGAUUGGUUCUUAAGGAGUAGGAAGUAAAGUGGCAGAGAACUACUCACAGACUAAGUGACUACCUGGAGAGCGUGCUCAGAGGGGAAGCCUAUAACAGCCAGCCAGGGUAGACUAAGGAAAAAAAAGCCUGAUGGGAAGCGUUGGUAGAUGACCAUACGAUUCGGCUUCUAGAUAGUUCCUUUCUUGUUCAUCUACCAAGCACACCCGGUAAUGGCAAGUAUUGUGUGAAUAUCCCGCAGAAACGUCCCCUUUGAUUCGAGUUGCCAGUGAUUAAUCGGAACACAGCGGAUCUCAUGUCUGAGAUGAGCACAAAUUAAGUGGGCACACAUGCAAGAACUUACCGGUCAUAGUACAGGUACCAUCAUGAGGCCAAAAUAGUAAGAAAUGAGUAUGAAUAGUUCUAUAGUUAUUUAAAUAUUUUUGUAUCCAGUUAAGCUAGAUUUUAAUAUUUUUCCUACUUCUGCUUUGCUACCUUUUUGAUUCACAUAUAGUCAAGCAUGCUGGCCCUGUCCUCUCAAAAACAUACUGUUGAGCGUGACCUCUGGCUCUCCUAGACAACAGCCCCGGAUCUGAUUCCGCACAGCCUGGACUUGUAUACCUUCCCCUGUUGUGUGGUGCUCAGCCCCUCCUACUUUUCU